CAGCUUCCUGGGUAGGAAGUGUCUGGGAUGAGAAAGAAGAGGUUGAUGAAAGAGGAAGAGGCAGGCAAACAGCUGUUAGAGAUGAAGAUGGCUGAGGGUCUGCAGAUGUUUCCCUGGAAGAUAUCAGGAGUCUGCUCUGAAUGCAGCUGUUAGUGUUUUGAGAUGGAGUCUCACUGUAUAGCCUCUCACAGCCUGGAACUUGCUAUGUAGCCCAAACUGGCCGUGAGUUCUUGGUCUUCCUGGCUCCG
Molecule: long non-coding RNA, 248 nt
Filed under: Cricetulus griseus (Chinese hamster)
Lineage: Eukaryota; Metazoa; Chordata; Mammalia; Rodentia; Cricetidae
Description: lncRNA (ENSCGRG00000024264.1)
Source: RNAcentral